This is a non-coding RNA of Westerdykella ornata, 96 nucleotides long. Lineage: Eukaryota; Fungi; Ascomycota; Dothideomycetes; Pleosporales; Sporormiaceae. The record is from the annotation of a RefSeq genome assembly.
GACAACGUGCCAGAGUGGUUAAUGGGUAUGACUCGAAUCUCAUCAUUCGGCUAUCAUAUGGCUUCGGCCGCACAGGUUCGAGUCCUGUCGUUGUCG